GAUGUUCGUCACACAUCCUAGUAGGAUCGGUCCUGGAGGAGGCAUGCUGGGUGUUGCUGUGUAGAUACGGUUGACCAUGACAUGGCUAGUGUUGUUUGCCCAGUAGGGUGCUCUUUAAAUUGGCGAUGGUGUGGUUUUCUGGAAGGGUUGUAUUGCGGAGAAGGGUUGGGAACGUUUUUCCGCAGAAGUGUUAUGUCUAGGCCUUUUCCUGAGCUCUUCAGUGGACUGAUAUUUGAUAUGUGGAUAAUAGUCGUUUAUGAGCUUGUGUAGUCAAAACUGGAAAGUUGAUUCUCAUUAUACUACAGUUUGCUUCGCUUUAAAAUUAGCUGUGAAAGGAACAGAGCUCUUCUAUUGCUGAAAGCAAGUAGCAAUAACACCUCAAACUCAUAGUCAACAGUAUAAAACAGUUAUGAGUAGGAGAGAGUUUCAAAAGGAGGAUGUGGAAUCCUUAAAAAAUUUUUUUUAAAAAGGUUGUCAAAUCGUCGGUGGAAUGAAAUGCAUGAGGAAGAUGAUGAGCAAUGCAAACAGUCUUUGAUUAAUCCACAAGAGGGUAAUUCCAGGAAACACACGUAUGGACUUUAGUAGACUCCAUUGGCAAUGUGAACAAGCUGAUCUUUUUCAGACCUUUAAUAUGAGCAAGCUUUGAGCAGCCAACCAAGAGAUGAACUACGAACCUCAACUAUGCUAUCUUGUUAUAGAUGAGUCUCCUCUUCCUCAUUCCACUCACAACCUUUUUGUUUUCAUUUAUACAGCGCAGUGGAGCAGAACUGGAACAAAGCCUUUUUGUGCUAAGAAACUUCUUGAACAUCCAUUAUUAAACGGCACGAGAGGGCCAUGGGUCUCGAUCUGCUCAGAGGAGACCAUCGAGACAUGCAAGACCACGUUUGAUCAUGAAAGAGAAGCUUCCAGAGAAAUCCAUACUGGAUGUACAGGGCACAAGGUUACAAGAUUAGAGAAACACUGA
Molecule: long non-coding RNA, 964 nt
Organism: Cyprinus carpio (common carp)
Lineage: Eukaryota; Metazoa; Chordata; Actinopteri; Cypriniformes; Cyprinidae
Source: Ensembl